UACGUAGGGCGCAAGCGUUGUCCGGAAUUAUUGGGCGUAAAGAGCUCGUAGGCGGUCUGUUACGUCUGCUGUGAAAACCCGGGGCGUUAACCCUGGGCUUGCAGUGGAUACGGGCAGACUAGAGUGCGGUAGGGGUGACUGGAAUUCCUGGUGUAGCGGUGGAAUGCGCAGAUAUCAGGAGGAACACCGAUGGCGAAGGCAGGUCACUGGGCCGCAACUGACGCUGAGGAGCGAAAGCAUGGGGAGCGAACAGG
This 254-nucleotide ribosomal RNA is filed under the name uncultured bacterium. RNAcentral's name for it is "partial 16S ribosomal RNA". It matches the Rfam family "Bacterial small subunit ribosomal RNA", at positions 524 to 776 of the family's 1533-position model. The record is from RNAcentral.